AUACUUACCUGGCAAGGGAGACACCGUGAUCACGAAGGCGGUUCACCCAGGGCGAGGCUCAGCCAUUGCACUCCGGCUGUGCUGACCCCUGCGAAUUUCUCAAAUGUGGAAAUCUCGACUGCGUUC
Oncorhynchus mykiss (rainbow trout) is the source of this 126-nucleotide small nuclear RNA. Its record names the gene U1. It matches the Rfam family "U1 spliceosomal RNA". Rfam says of the family: U1 is a small nuclear RNA (snRNA) component of the spliceosome (involved in pre-mRNA splicing). Its 5' end forms complementary base pairs with the 5' splice junction, thus defining the 5' donor site of an intron. NCBI's taxonomy places the organism in Eukaryota, Metazoa, Chordata, Actinopteri, Salmoniformes, Salmonidae. The record is from Ensembl.